CCUCUCUCUCUCUCUCUCUCUCGCAUAUUUCUCCUUCCUCCCUCAAACCAACAGUCGCCUCCCCUAUAUGCUGUUUGUCGACAUCGAUGCCCUCCGUUUUUCUCUCCAACACUGCCGCUGUUCUCAGUUCUGCGAUUGAAGUCGCGACAACCGCUGUCUAAUCGACUACCGAUGCUCCGUUUCUGGCAACCCAGGCUCUGUCCUCCACCUUCUGACCAUAUUCUUGUUCGAAUUGAACGAGACGUUGAUCGAGGCAUUGAUCGAGAAGUGAUUGAAAUGGGUAUUCAAAAAUAGCUAAGUUGUGUUGCAAGUUGAAGUUGGGCAGAGAUUGUUAUAGAUAGAAUCUUGUCAGAAGCUGGCAGAAAGGAAUGAUAUGGCACUACAUAGUGUUAUUAGAAAUCUGAGCUAGACACCGGAGUUAAGAUAAUGUUAAAGAUGGUUCGCCUAUUUAGGCUAAGCAUAAGAGUAAGGCUAGGCGAGGAUUGCAAGUGACUAAGUUUCAACCUGAUGGUCAGGAAGAGUAUCCAAGAUCGAGUCUUUGGGACUAGUGGUAAUUAGAGUUGUCUAAAUUUGAUUUAGUUGUAAAAACAUGUAAUAGAAUUUAUUAGUUUUAUUUUUCUGAUUUCAAUACUAUAGCCUGUUUGCGAUCC
Daucus carota subsp. sativus is the source of this 650-nucleotide long non-coding RNA. RefSeq lists it as uncharacterized. NCBI's taxonomy places the organism in Eukaryota, Viridiplantae, Streptophyta, Magnoliopsida, Apiales, Apiaceae. The transcript is spliced from 3 exons. The record is from RefSeq and is a predicted model, not a curated record.